GUGUGUAUGGUGUAAAUAACACAUUAGCUUUUCAUGUUAAAAAUAUAUCCUAUAUUACACAC
Molecule: transfer RNA, 62 nt
Filed under: Amynthas yamade
Lineage: Eukaryota; Metazoa; Annelida; Clitellata; Crassiclitellata; Megascolecidae
Description: tRNA-Glu
Source: RNAcentral